This 499-nucleotide ribosomal RNA is filed under the name uncultured bacterium. RNAcentral's name for it is "partial 16S ribosomal RNA". It matches the Rfam family "Bacterial small subunit ribosomal RNA", at positions 30 to 523 of the family's 1533-position model. The record is from RNAcentral.
UUGAACGCUGGCGGCAGGCCUAACACAUGCAAGUCGAGCGGUUGAGAGUAGCUUGCUACUUGAUGCAGCGGCGGACGGGUGAGUAACGCGUGGGAAUCUGCCCAGUAGUGGGGGACAACAGCCGGAAACGGCUGCUAAUACCGCAUACGCCCUACGGGGGAAAGGGGGGGAUCUUCGGACCUCUCGCUAUUGGAUGAGCCCGCGUCGGAUUAGCUAGUUGGUAGGGUAAAGGCCUACCAAGGCUACGAUCCGUAACUGGUCUGAGAGGAUGAUCAGUAACACUGGAACUGAGACACGGUCCAGACUCCUACGGGAGGCAGCAGUGGGGAAUAUUGGACAAUGGGGGAAACCCUGAUCCAGCCAUGCCGCGUGUGUGAAGAAGGCCUUAGGGUUGUAAAGCACUUUCAGUGGGGAGAAAGGUUUGUCACCUAAUACGUGAUGAAAUUGAUGUUACCCACAGAAGAAGCACCGGCUAACUCCGUGCCAGCAGCCGCGGUAA